Molecule: small nuclear RNA, 170 nt
Filed under: Fundulus heteroclitus (mummichog)
Lineage: Eukaryota; Metazoa; Chordata; Actinopteri; Cyprinodontiformes; Fundulidae
Description: U2 spliceosomal RNA (ENSFHEG00000014390.1)
Rfam family: U2 spliceosomal RNA
About the family: U2 is a small nuclear RNA (snRNA) component of the spliceosome (involved in pre-mRNA splicing).
Source: RNAcentral
GAAGCUUCUCAGCCUUUUGGCUCAGAUUAGAUGUAAUAUCUGUUCUUAUCGGUUUAAUAUCUGAUAGACCACCUACCCAGGGACCAUAUAUUAAAUUGAUUUUUGGAACAGACAGAUGGAACGGAGCUUGUUCCAUCCACUCCCUGUGUCGACCUCCAGGCACAGUGCCU